UAUAAUUAGGUACGAUGUUUCUUUUUAAACAUAUAUUGUGUAUUAUAGCAACUUAUAUGUCUCUCUUGCGAUUGAUAGUGUGACAGGCCGCCUGGUUUCCAGACUGUUAUGAAAUGAUGUAUGUCUUUUCAUUUCAUUUGAGCGAUUUGUUUGCGAAGAUUCUGUAAUAUAUAAUAUGUUCAAAUACUCGAAAACGGUGAAAUAAUUAAUUAUCCAGGAUUCAUUUUAAAUCUUUUCUAUUGUGUUUCAGAAAUUGAAACAUGACAAAUUAUAGAAUUAACGUUGUAUUGUAGUUACAAAAUGACACUGGCACUGUAAGAGGCCUAACUUUGUAAUAAUACAGUAAUUUCAAAAUGAACUGUUAUAUUAUCCACUAGUCAACCUAAGAUAUAACCGUUACUGUACUAUCAAAGGAAACGGAGAUCGUCCGUCCUGGUACUUUAAAGCAUUUGACCUUGACAUUGAUUUAAAUCGGUGACUGUGACUAGCCUUAAACAAACCAUGAUACUUUGCCCACAGCAGUUCAGAAUAUAGUAACAUAUUAGUGGAAAUCCUACCGAUUUUCCAUCAUGUCCGCAACAUGUUAAAUUUUAGUUGAUGGUUUAGAAUUUUUUUUAAGAAUUUUUAAAGGUUACUUUCACAUUUAUAAAUUACUUAUAUCAAAAUAUAGAUAUGAUUAAAAACGAUUCAUCGGAACACAGUAGAAGAGGUACUGAGCACAGCGAAACCGAGAGAGUAGGCGAAUCAAAUGCCGUCAAAUUUGAGCAACAAGAAAUCGCCUUCAAAUGCGACGAGAUAAAUAAGCGUUCGAUUGGCCGGGCUAUCAUCAAAUUCUGUGGAAACGAAGGUACUCAAAAUGACACCAAUAAAGCUACCCUAAGGAGACUUAUGCAAGCUGUCAUUUCACAUAUUGAACAGGAAAAACCAGACACUUGGAAGAAUGCCGAAGUUAAGAUAUAUGAUGACAAUUUUGAAGUUUACUCAAUCCGUUCUGGCAACGGUCAUGCAUUGUUUCUAGCAACAUUUGAUGGUCUUGAAAACCCUCAAGUUAUAAAGACAAGCAGGUCCAGGAUCGAGUCAAAUCGGGUUCAAGGGAAACAGUGCUCACUUAUGUAGCCUUUGAAUAAAGUAUAUAUUUUAUAGAAAAUACUUUGGAAGUUUGUAAUCAAUGAGUGGAAAUGUUAGUAUAUUUACUAGUGUUUUUGUUCAAUUUGAAAUGUGUCAACAAGCUGCCAACGAUUUAACAAAAGAUCUUUACGAUAAGGUUAAUUUCAAAAUUACGCAACAAACUAGCUUUGUUUUAUAGAAUAUAUUUUGUAUUCGCAUAAACAGUAAAAAGAACUGAAUAAAUCUUGCUGAUGAAUAAUGUUAAUAUGUAAUAUCUCGGUAGAUUACAGUCGUGUACAUUUUUAUGUUGCUGGCGUUAUCUGCAUCAGUCAUUUUAAAUCCUGUAAAAACUUUUUACUAACCUCUUUUCGGCAAAGCAAAUCUCUGCCCACUGUUUGAUUUGACUCUUCCGCAAAAAGGGCGUCUUUCAUUUUAAUUGUAAUAUAAAACAAUAUAGUUUUUUGUUAUGCAUCUUGUCUGAGAAGUUUCAACUCUAAUACUGGUAUUAGGAACUCUUCUUAUUCUUUAAUAUUCUUGAUUAGUUUUGAAUUUUUCUUCUUAUAAAUGAUUUUUAUCAUGAUUAUCUGCCCCCCGAUUGGAGACGUAGAUAGGAAUAUUCAGUUCGAAGGUAAAAGUUUUUAAAGGCUUAACAGUCACUACAGCCAGUGGUAGAUUAUUAAUAAUUUAUUAUUGUUUGGAUACAGUUUCUAAUCUUGUUUAGCUCUUUGGGUUUCCAAUCAAACCAACUUUUCAUAUGAUUAACGAUUGCAAACAGGGAGAAUUCCUUUAGUGGAAUGAAAUGGCCUUGCAAUCAAACCGGUAAACAAAAAUCUUCCAGUAUCCGGACGUGCUACAAAAUCACAAACAUCGGCUGCCCUACUACCUAAAUCUUCAUGACAGCUUGUUCUUAAAUCGUUUUGCACCUGUCUCCUUUUCAACCACUCUGAGAUACAUUUCAUUGUUGUUUAUCCCUGUUUCCACAUAUCGCCUCAACCUUGCUCUCUGCCCCGGAUAUAUAUUAUGGUUAUUGUCCUUGGCAAAAGAUAUGGCUUUCAGCCAAAGCUUGUAAUAAGGACAUCUUACAUUUCGAAAGUCUAAAGGUUUAAAGACUUAAAAUUCCCCUUAAUCUUUAAUCUAAACUCAACAAACUUGUUACGUGGAAAUCUAGAUAAUCUAGAUAUAAUAGGAUGAGUCUAAUUUAGCCUUGACAGAUAAAGAUAAAAUAUGAAAAGAAGAUACAAUACCCAACUCAUAAGAUUUUAUUAUGCCCUGUAUAAUUUGUUAUUUUUAACAUACCUUUCUCAAUUAAAACAACAGCAAUAAUUUCAUCUUAAAGCUUUUAUUAAAAACUAGUAAACACAUAUUAAGUCGUGACUGUAAUAUAUGACGGAAACUUUAGCAUUACAUUUUUCAAGAAAACAUUUUAGUAGAAAUUUAUUUGCACAACAAAUCGUAGAAAAUCUAAUUUAAUUACAUGUACAUGAUGCUGAUAAAUGAUAACUUUGUAGAGAAGAUACGAUUCAAUACUUCUUUAAAAAGGAGCCAUGAUGUUUUAAUCUUGAGGCUUGUCCUCCAAAUUAUCUGUUAAAAUGUUUCAUUAAUUAAACAUGUACUUUAUUCUUACAACUUAACUGUGUUAUUUACAUGUUAUUCCCUAUUAUGCUUCAUUUUAUUAUUUUUCAUAUUGAUGACUCAUUGAUUACUGUAAAAUCUGUCCUAGUUUUAACACAUUAUGUAUGUAAAAAAGUUAUUCUAUGGUUUUCUAGUCGAUUCAAUCAACAGGGUGUUAACAUUAUUUUAGUCUCGGUUAUUCUGGGCAUUUACGGCAUACAGUCUAACCUGCACUAACGGUCACCUCUGAUCAGCGGUCAUUUUCUGACGCCCCUGACGGAUUUUCCUCUAUUUCAUCACUUUAUUCAGCGUCCACCGAAAUUGCCUCACGACCGCCGUAUUUGACCCCUUUCAGCGGCCAUGUUUCUUCCAAAACCAAUUAUUUUUAUGCGAUAAUCGCCGAAGAUACCCUAUUUUUGAUACACGUGAUUGCUAAGUUUCCCCUGACUUCACCACAAGAACGACAAAAUGACAUGAGCUUCCCAAUUAAAACUGAUAACCAAAGGUGUGAUCCCCUUUUUGUUACGUCAAGUGGCCAGUAAUUAUCGGCAAUUAGCGUGUCACCUCGUGUCAAUUUUGUUGUUCACAGUUUGAUCUCGGUUAAAGAUAAUACUCGAUAUCUAAUUAGUAGCAUAAUAUUUGUGUUCUUUUAUAUAUUUUAUCAAAAUACGUUUAAAUUUAUCAUGUUUGAACGAAAUGUAAACCACUCGAUCUUUUGCGGAACGUAACGGCAAUCUUAGAUUUUAGCGUAGACAGUAAGCGCGGAGAGUAGCUUCCCUUACCAAAAUGGCGAAAAUUGAAAACAAACUUGAUUUGAAAUUUGAAAAUUGUCUGUAACAAAACAGAUGACGCCGGAGUUUUUGAUUGCUAAGAAGACCAUUCGUAUUGCGAAGGCAAAUGCACAUCAAUGUAUACUGGUAAGAUAAUACUAGAAACCCGAAAAAGAAAUUGGCCUUAAGGCUAACUAAGCUGGUCAGAAGUCUGAAAAAUACAUAUCCUGGCUGCACCUCCGAUCAGUGGUCACGUAGCUUAAGCGCCCAAAUUGUCUGCUUCCCCUGGCUGGCUGCUUAAGACAGGUUAGACUGUAUUCCUUUUUACUACUGGUGAUAGAUGAAAGUGCUGGGAUCAUCCAUAUUGCUUUAAAUUGGAAGCUGUGGAUAGGGCAGAACCUAAGCAAGAUCUUAAUGAAAUUUUUUCCUGAUUAUCCUAAUAGCAAAUUUGCAAGAUUGGACAUGUUUAGAUUGAUUUACGUUAACAUUGUGGAUUUAAAACUUUAUCUUAAAGUAGAGGAUUUAUACUCUGUGGAUACAUUUAAUUCAGUUUGGAUUUUACAACAUGCAUGUAUCGGACAACUUUUUUGCAUUGAGAUAAGUUCUUCCUGCAAUAAUCCAGUUCUAAUUGGAAAUUAAGUAUUUAUCAAUGGUUUGAUAGGUAGGACUAUCUGCAAGAGCAGCUUCAUGGAAAUAAAUAGGAAGUUUCUGAAAAGCUUAAAUAGCAUGCCUCAGAAUGAUCAAAUCAAGACUUAAGUAAUACACUUGCGUUAUUUUUAAUAGGUUUUCAUAAUUUCAAUUUUAGAUACUAUCUUUAUAAUAAAAUUGUAUGAUAUAAUGAAGCAUUCAAUUUCUUUUUUAAUAUAUUACGUGUGUUUCAUGUAUAUCAUGUAAUAAAAUCAAAGAAUGUUUUAUUGUAUAAAACUGUAUCAUAUAAAACUUUCUCAUCCUUCAGGUGUGGAGGUGUUAUGUACAUGUCAUUCCCCAAUGUGUUUCUCUUUCCUAUUGAUGACGCAUUGGAUAUGUAAGGCCUGUCCUAGUUCUAUGGCAUCAUGUAUGUCAAUAAGUUAUUCAUAUUCUAUGAUUUUCUAGAAGAUUCCAUCAUCAUGGUAUCAACAGUAUUUCAAUGUCUGUAUUAUUCUUUUUUUUUUCUAGAAUCUUCCUUUUUUCUUCUUGGUGAUAAAAGAAAGUGAUGGAAUCUUCCAUGAUGCUUUAAAUAGGAACUGUAUGAGGAAGGGCAAUACCUAAGCAAGAUUUUAUUGAAAACUUUCUUGUGUUUCGUAAUAACAGAACAUUGCCAGUUUGGACUUUUAACUUUUGAUUGAUCUACUUUAACAUUGUGGUUUUAUGAAAUUAUCUAUAAAGGGAGAAUUUAUAUUCGGUUUGAAUUUAUUACUUGUUGGGUUUAAACUUGACUAGGACACGAAUUAGACUAUUCUUGCUUAUAAUUAAUGGACUUUUAUUCAUCUCGUGAUUUUCGAAAAUAGUAGUCUCCCUUCUUCAUCUAUCGUUUAUAUGCUCAUGAUGUUUUGAAUCUGGCUGCCACAUUUGUUGUAAUGAAAAUAAAAUUAUAUUAAUUUCUUGUUAAA
Mercenaria mercenaria is the source of this 5077-nucleotide long non-coding RNA. RefSeq lists it as uncharacterized. NCBI's taxonomy places the organism in Eukaryota, Metazoa, Mollusca, Bivalvia, Venerida, Veneridae. The transcript has 2 exons. The record is from RefSeq and is a predicted model, not a curated record.